UCCCUGGUGGCUCAGAUGGUAAAGUGUCUGUCUGCAAUGCAGGAGACCUGGGUUCGAUCCCUGGAUUGGGAA
This 72-nucleotide transfer RNA is filed under the name Bos taurus (domestic cattle). It matches the Rfam family "tRNA". Rfam says of the family: Transfer RNA (tRNA) molecules are approximately 80 nucleotides in length. Lineage: Eukaryota; Metazoa; Chordata; Mammalia; Artiodactyla; Bovidae. RNAcentral also lists the same sequence under 5 other names. The record is from Rfam by way of RNAcentral.